ACGUGACGGGAGCCGCCGGAUGGGUCGGUCGGUCGGCGGUUGGUAGCAGCAGCUCGAGCGGAGAGUUAAAAAAAAAUCCGGCGGCGGAGGCGACGGCAUCGGUGCCAUGGACAGUCAGGGCAAGAAGGUGGUGGUGUGUGACAACGGCACCGGGUUUGUGAAAUGUGGCUAUGCUGGUUCCAACUUCCCAGAACAUAUCUUUCCGGCCUUGGUUGGCCGACCCAUCAUCCGCUCCACUGCCAAAGUUGGGAAUAUUGAGAUCAAG
Long non-coding RNA from Callorhinchus milii (elephant shark), 265 nucleotides. RefSeq lists it as uncharacterized. The record is from RefSeq and is a predicted model, not a curated record. The transcript is spliced from 2 exons. NCBI's taxonomy places the organism in Eukaryota, Metazoa, Chordata, Chondrichthyes, Chimaeriformes, Callorhinchidae.